GAGUGGCUUCAGCUCAAGUCCAAGUGUGGUUUCUCCAGGUCUACAGUGAGGUCCACCGACGCCCUGGGGAUCUAUCUGUGGAGAAGGGGAAGGGUCUAAUCUGAGCCGCUGAGACGCAAACCAGAACAGGCCCCCGGAUAUUGAUCUUUAGCAGUACUCUUUCUCCGUUGAGGCCCAUCACCCCAGUCGUAAAGCUGCUGUGUUUAGCAGGCUUCCUCAUUUCCUGCUGCUGUUCCUUCGGCCCAGACUUCUCAUGGAUCCGGGGCAUUCCUGCUCUUCCUACAUGGUCCAGGAACCUCAAGAGGUCGGAUUUCAGAAUGAAUAGGAAGCCACAAGAAUUCUGCAGGCAAGAAAAACAGACGUCAGAGACCCUGAUCUUGC
Molecule: long non-coding RNA, 381 nt
Filed under: Mus pahari (shrew mouse)
Lineage: Eukaryota; Metazoa; Chordata; Mammalia; Rodentia; Muridae
Description: lncRNA (MGP_PahariEiJ_G0006001.1)
Source: RNAcentral